RNAcentral lists this ribosomal RNA (743 nucleotides) under uncultured bacterium. RNAcentral's name for it is "bacterial SSU rRNA". It matches the Rfam family "Bacterial small subunit ribosomal RNA", at positions 61 to 815 of the family's 1533-position model. The record is from RNAcentral.
GUCGAACGAUUAAAGCUCCCUUUCGGGGAGUGCAUAAAGUGGCGCACGGGUGAGUAACACGUAAGUAAUCUACCCUCGGGUGGGGAAUAACGUUCGGAAACGGACGCUAAUACCGCAUAAUGCAGCGGCACCGCAAGGUGACAGUUGUUAAAGAUUUAUUGCCUGGGGAGGAGCUUGCGGCAGAUUAGCUUGUUGGUAAGGUAACGGCUUACCAAGGCUACGAUCUGUAUCCGGUCUAAGAGGACGGUCGGACACACUGACACUGAAUAACGGGUCAGACUCCUACGGGAGGCAGCAGUCGGGAAUUUUGGGCAAUGGGGGAAACCCUGACCCAGCAACGCCGCGUGAAGGAUGAAGUAUUUCGGUAUGUAAACUUCGAAAGAAUAGGAAGAUUAAUGACGGUACUAUUUAUAAAGUCCGGCUAACUACGUGCCAGCAGCCGCGGUAAUACGUAGGGACCAAGCGUUGUUCGGAUUUACUGGGCGUAAAGGGCGCGUAAGCCGCGCGGUAAGUCACUUGUGAAAUCUCUGAACUUAACUCAAAACCGCCAAGUGAUACUGCAGUGCUAGAAUGGUGAAAGGGCCAUCGGAAUUCUUGGGUGUAGCGGGUGAAAUGCGUAGAUAUCAAGAGGAACACCUGAGGUGAAGACGGGUUUGCUGGGCCAACACUGACGCUGAUGCGCGAAAGCCAGGGGAGCAAACGGGAUUAGAUACCCCGGUAGUCCUGGCCCUAAACGAUGAAUG